GGAGAGAUGGCCGAGAGGUUUAAAGCGGCGGAUUGCUAAUCCGUUGUACAACUUAUACGUACCGAGGGUUCGAAUCCCUCUCUCUCCU
This 88-nucleotide transfer RNA is filed under the name Adiantum aleuticum. Its description in RNAcentral is "tRNA-Ser". It matches the Rfam family "tRNA". Rfam says of the family: Transfer RNA (tRNA) molecules are approximately 80 nucleotides in length. Their secondary structure includes four short double-helical elements and three loops (D, anti-codon, and T loops). Further hydrogen bonds mediate the characteristic L-shaped molecular structure. tRNAs have two regions of fundamental functional importance: the anti-codon, which is responsible for specific mRNA codon recognition, and the 3' end, to which the tRNAs corresponding amino acid is attached (by aminoacyl-tRNA synthetases). tRNAs cope with the degeneracy of the genetic code in two manners: having more than one tRNA (with a specific anti-codon) for a particular amino acid; and 'wobble' base-pairing, i.e. permitting non-standard base-pairing at the 3rd anti-codon position. The record is from RNAcentral. Lineage: Eukaryota; Viridiplantae; Streptophyta; Polypodiopsida; Polypodiales; Pteridaceae.